CUCUACUGAUCUCCUCUGCCAUUCAUGUCCUACUCAAUUCCAUCGGCAAUUUCAGUUACCUUCGAUUGGCGUCGGUUGUGAUUCGGUUUGAUUGGCUAGUUCAUGUCGAAACUGCAGUGGCAAUCGAUUCCCCGAAUUUAGCGGGCUCGAUCAGACUAGAUAGCGACAGCUUGACGCCGCUUAGGAUUUCGAUUGUUUCUGUUUCUGUGGUUUCGGUCGUUGUGCUCCCCGUGAUCGAGCCUGUUCUGAGUGGACUAGGCCAUGCCGUAAUUGAUGGUUGGAUGAUUCGACAGGUCAUGCUGUAUGGCGACAGCGAGCAGAUGUUGGAAUGCAGGAUCUCGAAGAAAGAUGAAGUUGUUUGUUGUGGUGAGACACUGACGUUCAGUGCUUAUUUGGUUGACGUUGGAGAGCCUGAAGGAGGGCAAAAGCCUCUUAAUCAUACUUGAUAUUCACAGCCGAGCAAAGAAAGUUCCUAAGCGAACAACUUCGCUUCACAGAAACAAGUUCAUGAACGUAUCUGAUUGCACCGGUAUUGUCUGUUCUUCAUGCUGGUGUCUCUAUUGGUUUGAAAUUUGACAACUCAUUCUUGUACAUUCACAAUGUUGUGAUCGUCUACUGGUGUUAAUGUAUAAUCCACUUCGCAUACGUUUUAAGAAAUGAGAAGACCAAAGUGGAGAAGGAUAAACAGCAGACAAUUAGCCUCAGCCCAUCACAGAAAAUUAUUAGAGAAUUCAAAAAGAACCAAAUGAACAGGUAUGGCAUAUUGCAGGCAAGUCCGAACUCAAGGACAUCAAGCAUGACAGGUUUUCUUGUAUGAUAUGAGCUGGAAACAUUUAGAUGGCAGGUUCCUGAACAAAGCUGAAGAAGUAAGCCCUGGGGAGAUGAUUGAAUUUCCUGGUCAUUUGGUUGAAGUUGGCAACAGUGAAGCAAACCAUGAAUCUUUGAGGGAUCUAAAUGCAUGUGGAAACAGUUUCCAUUCUCUUUGCAAAUUAAUGUGCAAAAGCAGCAGCAUAAUGUUACUAAUGUUAGAUCUGCUUUAAAAGGUACCUAGAAUACAGUCUGAUUCGAUCCAUUUCCUGGUGUUCUAUAAAGUGUUUAUUUUUCCUGUUUAGUCUUUCUAUGAAGGUAAUUUGCCUUACCUCCUAGCCUAAAGUCUUAAACUUCCAAUAGAUUAUUAACAUUGUCUCCCUCAUUAUUUAUA
Eucalyptus grandis is the source of this 1201-nucleotide long non-coding RNA. RefSeq lists it as uncharacterized. NCBI's taxonomy places the organism in Eukaryota, Viridiplantae, Streptophyta, Magnoliopsida, Myrtales, Myrtaceae. The record is from RefSeq and is a predicted model, not a curated record. The transcript is spliced from 3 exons.